RNAcentral lists this ribosomal RNA (582 nucleotides) under uncultured bacterium. RNAcentral describes it as "partial 16S ribosomal RNA". It matches the Rfam family "Bacterial small subunit ribosomal RNA", at positions 355 to 935 of the family's 1533-position model. The record is from RNAcentral.
UGGGGAAUUUUGGACAAUGGGCGAAAGCCUGAUCCAGCAAUGCCGCGUGUGUGAAGAAGGCCUUCGGGUUGUAAAGCACUUUUGUCCGGAAAGAAAUCCUUGGCUCUAAUACAGUCGGGGGAUGACGGUACCGGAAGAAUAAGCACCGGCUAACUACGUGCCAGCAGCCGCGGUAAUACGUAGGGUGCAAGCGUUAAUCGGAAUUACUGGGCGUAAAGCGUGCGCAGGCGGUUUGCUAAGACCGAUGCGAAAUCCCCGGGCUCAACCUGGGAACUGCAUUGGUGACUGGCAGGCUAGAGUAUGGCAGAGGGGGGUAGAAUUCCACGUGUAGCAGUGAAAUGCGUAGAGAUGUGGAGGAAUACCGAUGGCGAAGGCAGCCCCCUGGGCCAAUACUGACGCUCAUGCACGAAAGCGUGGGGAGCAAACAGGAUUAGAUACCCUGGUAGUCCACGCCCUAAACGAUGUCAACUAGUUGUUGGGGAUUCAUUUCCUUAGUAACGUAGCUAACGCGUGAAGUUGACCGCCUGGGGAGUACGGUCGCAAGAUUAAAACUCAAAGGAAUUGACGGGGUCAUAGCUGUUU